Long non-coding RNA from Gavialis gangeticus (Gharial), 1038 nucleotides. RefSeq lists it as uncharacterized. The record is from RefSeq and is a predicted model, not a curated record. The transcript is spliced from 3 exons. NCBI's taxonomy places the organism in Eukaryota, Metazoa, Chordata, Crocodylia, Gavialidae.
ACCUGCCUUCCAUCUACAAGGAAGGAAGCCUGAUGACAUUAUGGAGAACAGCUCUGAAGCAGAAUCACUUACACUUCAUACAUCAAUGAGCUGCAGAUGCAGCUGGGAUGCUGUGCAGCUGCUGAUUGUCCCAGCCACUAACCCUCCCAAUCUCUCAUUUCCUCUGCCACAAAGAGAGAAAAAAAGUAGAUCUUCACAUACGCAGAGUUUUCAGAGCUUGCUCCUGCCUGUGCAGUUGUACCAAAUGCAGUGCCCUUUCCACACACAAGAAUAGGAAGAGUAAUGCGGAGAGCAAACUGCCAAAAUAUACCCAAAGGUUUCUGCUGUUUGAACCAACAUUAUCUGCUUCUCCCAGAACUGCAGCCUUUGGAGAAAUUUUGGCAAGGAUUUUGUGACAAUGCACCAACCAGGGAACUAAAUGAAUUGCCUGGAUGGGCACUUGCCUGCAUGUAAAUAACUUCUCCUGCAGCGUGUGGAGAUUCUUGAAACAUCCACAAGUUCAGGGGAACUGACCUGCUUCUUACAUUUAGAGUUGGUGGUUUCAGGGAUUACAAGUGCUGUGGCAGAAAAUCUAUGAGUAAGAAGGCAAGAAAGGAAAUGGAAACUAAAGAUGCAAAUGGAAAGAAAAAAAGAUAAAAAUAUCACACCUGUAGAAAAAUGGCUGAAGAUGCAGGCAGAUGACCUUUGGAUUUAGAGUGUGGAUGUCUUUGCUUUGGGUUAUCUGUAACCACAAAAGCUGAGAAGAAAACCAGUCAUCACAGAUGUGCAGGUGACACCCCCAGUCUAACGAAUAAGUGACAAGCAUGCAUCUGCUACUAUAAAAGAUGAGUAAGAGAGAAAAGACUUUGCAGGGGGACAACUUCUGCACAACAAUGAGGCAUCAGUACAUGUCCAACAGACCCCCAGCCCCCUUUUCCUUGUGCUCAGCUUGGUUGGCCACCAAGCUGACUUGAGUACUUAAAGACUAGUAACAUCAGAAUGGAGUGUCUAUGUUAACGUGUGCCUAUAAGUGCAGCAAUUUAAGCAAGAAGGAUAUAA